RNAcentral lists this transfer RNA (68 nucleotides) under Marmota monax (woodchuck). Its description in RNAcentral is "tRNA.Ala". The record is from RNAcentral. Lineage: Eukaryota; Metazoa; Chordata; Mammalia; Rodentia; Sciuridae.
GGCUUGUGGCUCAGCGGUAGAGCGCUCGCCUCGCAUACAUGAGACCCUGGGUUCGAUCCUCAGCACCA